RNAcentral lists this transfer RNA (70 nucleotides) under Clarias macrocephalus (bighead catfish). Its description in RNAcentral is "tRNA-Cys". It matches the Rfam family "tRNA". Rfam says of the family: Transfer RNA (tRNA) molecules are approximately 80 nucleotides in length. Their secondary structure includes four short double-helical elements and three loops (D, anti-codon, and T loops). The record is from RNAcentral. Lineage: Eukaryota; Metazoa; Chordata; Actinopteri; Siluriformes; Clariidae.
AAGCCUUGUGGUGUAUAACAUGUUAGAUUGCAAAUCUAAAGAUGCAGGUUAAACCCCCGCCGGGGCUUUC